CCUAAAGGCAAAAUGAAAGUGAAAGUMGRYCUUGCGCGCCGACUGAGGGAGGAUGAGCCGUAUUACGAUGCGGCUCCGCACUCCCGGGGCGUCUCGUUCACAUUAUGCGAAGAGGCGCACCCAGAGCGUACACGKUGGGACCCGAAAGAUGGKGAACUAUGCCUGGUCAGGACGAAGUCAGGGGAAACCCUGAUGGAGGUCCGUAGCGAUUCUGACGUGCAAAUCGAUCGUCGGAACUGGGUAUAGGGGCGAAAGACUAAUCKAACCAUCUAGUAGCUGGUUCCCUCCGAAGUUUCCCUCAGGAUAGCUGGCACUCGCGAGUUCAAUGAANCUUAUGCGAGUCUCAUCUGGUAAAGCGAAUGAUUAGAGGCCUUGGGGCCGAAACGACCUCAACCUAUUCUCAAACUUUAAAUGGGUGAGAUCUCUGGCUUGCUUGAAUACAUGAAGCCAUGAGAGAGAGAUAAUACACGGGAUCAGAGUGCCAAGUGG
This 489-nucleotide ribosomal RNA is filed under the name Ussurohelcon nigricornis. RNAcentral describes it as "eukaryotic LSU rRNA". It matches the Rfam family "Eukaryotic large subunit ribosomal RNA", at positions 707 to 1129 of the family's 3401-position model. Lineage: Eukaryota; Metazoa; Arthropoda; Insecta; Hymenoptera; Braconidae. The record is from RNAcentral.